GAUCAUGGCUCAGGAUGAACGCUAGCGAUAGGCUUAACACAUGCAAGUCGAGGGGCAGCAUGGUCUUAGCUUGCUAAGACUGAUGGCGACCGGCGCACGGGUGCGUAACGCGUAUGCAACUUGCCUCACAGGGGGGGAUAACCCGUCGAAAGACGGACUAAUACCGCGUACACUUACAGGAGGGCAUCCUCCAGUAAGGAAAUGAAAUUCGCUGUGAGAUAGGCAUGCG
Molecule: ribosomal RNA, 229 nt
Filed under: uncultured bacterium
Lineage: Bacteria
Description: partial 16S ribosomal RNA
Rfam family: Bacterial small subunit ribosomal RNA
Source: RNAcentral